Micropterus dolomieu (smallmouth bass) is the source of this 565-nucleotide long non-coding RNA. RefSeq lists it as uncharacterized. Lineage: Eukaryota; Metazoa; Chordata; Actinopteri; Centrarchiformes; Centrarchidae. The transcript has 3 exons. The record is from RefSeq and is a predicted model, not a curated record.
GUGCUUAUGGAAUAUGUUUCUAGGUGUAAUUUCUGAGGAUUAACUUACUACUGCUCUCCUGUCUCAAAAAUCUCCUCAGUGUGUUGAAGAAGAAAGGAGGCUCUGCAGGAAGGGAACUUCGCAUACUUUUGGCCCACAGCAACUGUUGAAAAGAGGAGGGAGAUCAUCCUCAGGGCAAUUGGUUUCUACCUGAUGAAGUCCCAAACAUCCUCUUCAAAGAAAACCCGGAUCUGAUGCUACAGCUGUUCCGAGGGAGCUUGGACAAGUUAUCUUUACAGCAUCCGUGUUGAGGGAGGUGAUGCCACCACUCCUCCAGCUGAUGUUGGGAUAGUCACCGAGGGUGCUGAAGUUCUGCAUGACUUGGGAGACAUCGCCCCUACACGUGCACUCUUAAUAGGUGUAAUUAUGCACUGAACCUCAGUUAUCCUCAGAACCUUAAAGCCUUCUUUGAGGUACUUCACAAGUGAUUCUUUUGCAAACCUUUCUACACUUUGUGUACUGUAUUAUUUUUUUCACCAAUUGCACCAAAAUGAUAAAGUCCAUAAAAAAAUUAAGUUGAAAUUGA